AUGGACCUAAUACUUCCGUUUAAAGUUGGAGAUGCCGUAGAGACAAGAUCCUAUAAUGUUGGUUAUAGGGGUGCAUGGUUCCGUUGCAAGAUCACCGAUAUGUGUAUCAGGAGCGGUCACAUGGAGUGUCAGGUGGAGUGUAUAGACUAUCCAGAUGAAAGAAGGAAAUGGAAUAGACUCUUCAAAAUUCCCCCCAAAUGCCGUAAUCAGAAAGCAAGUCAGAAUAGGGAGAUCAUGCUACGACCUCCUUUUCCUCGGUGGUGUUGGGAGAAUGAUAUUGCUGAGCUUGGGCCACAAACGGAUGUUGUAGCAGUUGUAAGCAGUCCUUGGAAAGUAGGUGACUUGAUUGAUUGGUGGUACACUGAUUGUUUUUGGACUGGGAAAAUUACCGAGUUGAUGAGUGAUGACAAAGUUAAGAUAAUUUGUCCUGAAAUACCAUUAGGUGAAGGUGGAUGUUGGGUUGCCGAUCCCAAAGACCUGAGGCCAGCGCUUGAUUGGUCCCUCGAAAAAGGUUGGAGUGCCCCUCUUUCACAGGAAAACGGCGAAUGCUGGCAUACUGCUCGUUUGAUUGCAGGGAACCAAGAUACAUUAAGUAGCAGCUCUGAUGAGGAGGACAUUGAGCAAUCUUGUGAUGGUAACAAGGUACUACAAAGAUGCUUGAAUGGAUCAUUUGAUUCAUUGGAGCAAGAAAUAGGAAAAUGCCUGAAUGGAGCAUCUGAUACACCAAAGGAGUUGGUCGAUCAAGAUGUAAAACAGCCAGCCAAUACAAAUGGCAGGUGCUGCCUGGAAAGUCAAACAGACAGUGAAGGGGAACCACAAAAAUGCAUGAAUGAAGAGCCUGGCGUGUCUCUGGAGGCCAUCUGUUCAAAAGUGCAACUCGCUCCCAAUGAAACUGGUGAAUGUUGCAUGAACAGCCAAGCAGACUGUCCGACGUCUCCUGUGGCCAAUUCAGGACAGUCUCCUCAGUUCAUUACCAAUGAGCAAUCAAGUACCCCCAAUUUCAAGAAACUCAAGACCUCAAGUGAGCCUGACGCUUCUCUCGAGGUCACCAAUACAAAAGUGCAACUCGCACCCAAUGAAAAUGGUGAAUGUUGCAUGAACAGCCAAGCAGACUGUCCGACGUCUCCUGUGGCCAAUUCAGGACAGUCUCCUCAGUUCCUUACCGAUGAGCAAUCAAGUCCCCCCAGUUUUAAGAAACUCAAGACCUCAAGUGAGCAUGCAUCAGUUAAGCCUACUGGCACCGUUAGCGAGGCCACGAUGAAACUGCGGGAACUAGUAAACAAAGUCAAGACCUCAAGUGAGCAUGUAUCAGUUAAGCCUACUGGCACCGUGAGCGAGGCCACGAUGAAACUGCAGGAACUAGUAAACAAAAUCAGACGGGCCCAAGCUCUCCUGCAGUCUGUUGACUAUGCUCCAUCAAGCAUAGUGCUGGCACCUUGGAAAUUUCAGGAAAAUAACCCAUGGCAGAAGCGUAACUGA
This 1479-nucleotide ribosomal RNA is filed under the name Triticum aestivum (bread wheat). RNAcentral's name for it is "partial small subunit ribosomal RNA". The record is from RNAcentral. Lineage: Eukaryota; Viridiplantae; Streptophyta; Magnoliopsida; Poales; Poaceae.